This is a long non-coding RNA of Aethalodelphis obliquidens (Pacific white-sided dolphin), 2002 nucleotides long. RefSeq lists it as uncharacterized. The record is from RefSeq and is a predicted model, not a curated record. The transcript is spliced from 2 exons. NCBI's taxonomy places the organism in Eukaryota, Metazoa, Chordata, Mammalia, Artiodactyla, Delphinidae.
CCUUGAGCCUUUGUGCUAAUGCUGUUUGCCAAGUAAUUACUUGGCGUCUCGUAGGUAACCCUAAGAAUAAAUUUCUAAGAUUUAGAUGUGUAAAUCAUAACAUACUGCUGAGAAUGAAAGAUAUUAUUAUAUUUUCUAGUUGCUUUGAAAAAAAUGCAAGAAAAAACUUGAGAGAAUUUUCCCCUUACCCUGAAAACAUAGUUGAAGCUGUGAACUACUUUAAUAAACAUCUUUCGGUAGCUCACAUUGCUAAGUGAGUUUUUUGGUUCUUUUAGUGAUCCAUUUUGUUUCUGUCAAUUAUUCAAAUUUUGAUGUCUAUGAUAAAAGAAGAUACUUACACAUUGGUGUAUUGGUAUUUAUGUCAACCCCAAUAUUUUUUCAUGUCUAUAAUAAUUAAUGAAUAAGCUAUGAGGUUUUUUUAUUGUUGUUUUUUAAGAUACUAUUUGGUAUUCAGUUACCCUUGAAGAAAACACUUUCUAUAAAAGACAAAAGAUUCAUGAGGUGAAUGAAGAUAGAAAAAAUGACUCUGGCUCUUACAAAAGGACCCCAAAAUGAAUGGAAACUUACAAAAAAAUGUAGUUGGAGGAGGAAAGUGCAAAGUUCACUUCCAUAAACAUUUACUAAGUACCUGCUCUGCACAGGGCACUCGGGAUUCCAAAAUGCAUUAAAGACCUAAGAAGAAGUUGCAGUCUGGUUAGAGAGACAGAUGCGUAAACAUUAUAAUAUCAAUAAAAUAAGUAAAGGGGGAAGGUAGCAGUGGAAACUAGGUAUUGUGGCAAGUUUAAAUUGAUAAAAUUUUUACCUUUAAAAACUGCACUUGGGUAAAAUGAAGCAAGAAUGUGGCCCUUUCCAAAAGUUACUAUCUGAACAGCAUGGUUUAAUAUUUACUUGGGCUUAAUACAGGUCACAUCUAUGAAUGCAGAAUACCUAACUCUGUAGGCAAAAGUAAAAUAAAAGUGUCCGUACACUCAUGUAAAUAGAGAGUAUAUACUUAGGUAAAUUUAAAGUGUACAAUUAUUCCUACCAUCUCAUGGUUUAAGUAAGAACUUACUUAAGUAAAUAUAUUGAUAUAUUUUAAAAUAUUCAGAAGCUCAGUGGAUAUUCUGUGCUUUAUCCAGAUUCUAGAUGUUUCAUAUGUUAUAGUCACAGUUUACCAUCAUUAACUUUUCCAGGGUAGUGAUAUCAUUUAAGAGAUAUUAAUCUUCCUAGUGGAAGAUUAGGAAGAGGCUAUUUUUUCCUCAGGAAAGAAUACUAAUCUGGUAGAAUCUAAAUCUUAAAAGAAUCUUAAAUCUUAAAAGAAUUAAAAUCUUAAAAGAAUACUAAUCUGGUGGAAUCUAAAUCUUAAAAGUCAACAGACAUUUUGCACGGCUUUCACUAUGUUCCUGUUAUUCCUCAAAAGAAAGAUUAAUUAGCAUUAAUGCAGUGAUGCAUCUCUGUUAAUAGAUCUCUGUUUUAGUCAGGUUUAUUGACCAAUAAUUAUAGUAUAGACAACAUAUUAAAUAUACAACAUAUGGUAUAUUCAAUAGAAUAAGUAAACCUGCAUAUAAUUGUAAUUAUGUUAACCCACUCAUUCAGCAAAUAUAUAUUGAGUACCUACUGUGUGCUUCCAGGUCCUAUAGCCAAAAGUAUCUGCACAUUUCAACAGUGCAAGUAGUAUUACCAAGACCACCUCAGUGUUUACUUCACUUAUAGUGAGUUCUCUUUAUCCACCCAUUCAGUCACUUACAUGAAAGGAUAUAUUUUGGAACUUCCUCUGCUUUAAAAUUAUUAGUUCCAGUCAAUGUACUGUGCUCAUCAGCAGUUGCUUUUAAGCUUGUUUAUUCCAGUGAUAGGAGUGCAUGUCCUUUUCAAGGCACUUGGAAGAAUUUUUUCUUUCUAAGCAGACCAGUGAAAUCUUACUACCAUGCUUAAAUCUUAGGUUAGUCCUGCAGAGAAACAGCAGGACUAAAAUAUGGGAUUUUUCAGUUCAAAUCUCACAAAUUUACCCUCUAAGGAAAAAAAA